GUGCUUGCUUCAGCAGCACAUACACUAAGAUUAUAACAAUACAGAAAAGGUUGGCAUGGUCCCUGCACAAGGAUAACACACAAAUUCAUGAAGCUUUCCAUAUUUCA
Small nuclear RNA from Manis pentadactyla (Chinese pangolin), 107 nucleotides. The record is from RefSeq and is a predicted model, not a curated record. Lineage: Eukaryota; Metazoa; Chordata; Mammalia; Pholidota; Manidae.